This 94-nucleotide non-coding RNA is filed under the name Limnohabitans sp. 63ED37-2. RNAcentral describes it as "Glycine riboswitch aptamer". It matches the Rfam family "Glycine riboswitch aptamer". Rfam says of the family: This family represents the bacterial glycine riboswitch. Lineage: Bacteria; Pseudomonadati; Pseudomonadota; Betaproteobacteria; Burkholderiales; Comamonadaceae. RNAcentral also lists the same sequence under 1 other name. The record is from Rfam by way of RNAcentral.
AAUCCCGCAUCGGGAGAGACUGUCAGCAGCAGCUGACAGCGCCGAAGGAGCAACCGCCCCGGAAACUCUCAGGCAAAAGGACCGAUGCAGGCUG